RNAcentral lists this microRNA precursor (85 nucleotides) under Chlorocebus sabaeus (green monkey). Its description in RNAcentral is "miRNA (ENSCSAG00000023876.1)". Lineage: Eukaryota; Metazoa; Chordata; Mammalia; Primates; Cercopithecidae. The record is from RNAcentral.
GUGGCACAUGCCUGUAGUCCCAGUACUUGGGAGACUGAGGUGGGAGGAUUGCUUGAGCCCAGGAGGUUGAGGCUGCAGUGAGCCA